GACGAACGCUGGCGGCGUGCUUAACACAUGCAAGUCGAACGGAAAGGCCCUGCUUGCAGGGUACUCGAGUGGCGAACGGGUGAGUAACACGUGGGUGAUCUGCCCUGCACUUCGGGAUAAGCCUGGGAAACUGGGUCUAAUACCGGAUAUGACCUUCCAUGUAGUGUGGGGGGUGGAAAGAUUUAUCGGUGUGGGAUGAGCCCGCGGCCUAUCAGCUUGUUGGUGGGGUAAUGGCCUACCAAGGCGUCGACGGGUAGCCGGCCCGAGAGGGUGGACGGCCACAUUGGGACUGAGAUACGGCCCAGACUCCUACGGGAGGCAGCAGUGGGGAAUAUUGCACAAUGGGCGGAAGCCUGAUGCAGCGACGCCGCGUGGGGGAUGACGGCCCUCGGGUUGUAAACCUCUUUCGACAGGGACGAAGCUUCGGUGACGGUACCUGUAUAAGAAGCACCGGCUAACUACGUG
Molecule: ribosomal RNA, 465 nt
Filed under: uncultured bacterium
Lineage: Bacteria
Description: partial 16S ribosomal RNA
Rfam family: Bacterial small subunit ribosomal RNA
Source: RNAcentral